AUACGUAGGGGGCGAGCGUUAUCCGGAAUUAUUGGGCGUAAAGAGUACGUAGGUGGUUGCGUAAGCGCAAGGUGAAAGACCGGGGCUUAACUUCGGUGAGCCUUGUGAACUGCGCGACUUGAGUGCAGGAGGGGAAAGUGGAAUUCCUAGUGUAGCGGUGAAAUGCGUAGAUAUUAGGAGGAACACCAGUGGCGAAGGCGACUUUCUGGACUGUAACUGACACUGAGGUACGAAAGCGUGGGGAGCAAACAGGAUUAGAUACCCUGGUAGUCCACGCCGUAAACGAUGAGCACUAGGUGUUGGCGUAGAAAUACGUCGGUGCCGAAGUUAACGCAUUAAGUGCUCCGCCUGGGGAGUACGCACGCAAGUGUGAAACUCAAAUGAAUUGGCGGGG
This 394-nucleotide ribosomal RNA is filed under the name uncultured bacterium. RNAcentral describes it as "partial 16S ribosomal RNA". It matches the Rfam family "Bacterial small subunit ribosomal RNA", at positions 523 to 918 of the family's 1533-position model. The record is from RNAcentral.